UGCCUGUAAAGCAGUGUGGAUUUUGACGAAAUUUGUCCUGUCAACUUCAGUCACGUUUCUGGUCGCCAUCGCAUGUCAAAGAUUCGUUCGGAUAUGUCGGCCGUUUAAACAAGAAAUAUCGAGAUUUACAAACUAUUUAUUCAUUAUAUGUGCAGUUAUGUUUGUGUUGUUUGAAUCUGUUCCAUUUGCCCUUUUUGCAGGUAUAAAGGAACACAAAACUGAAACUGGCAAAGGAAUUGUGUUUAACGAAUGCAGAAGAUAUAAGAACAGUCCGGAAAUAUGGCUGCUUGUGUAUAGAAUCAUUGAAAACUUAUUGCAUGGACUGAUUGUUAUAACUAUUGUUGUACUUUAUUUUAAAUGUGGCUUAAAACUCGCGAAAGUCGCUAAGAAAAUAAACAAUUCUAAACACACACGACGGAAAGCAACAAUUAAUGUGGACCUCGCAAAUGACACAAUGGACGAAAGUUCCGUGACCAAUGGUCGAUCCUUGUUUUAUACAUUGCCUUCUUCAUCGACUAAUGAUAUAACCGCCGACGAUGCUUCAGUGACAACAAUGAAUUAUGGAACUACUAACAGGGCAUAUAAGAAAAUGAGGGCUAAGAACCAGAAAUAUAAACGGAUCAACUGUAUGUUUAUUUUAGUGUCGAUAAUUGUCAUGGUCACAUAUUUACCGCGGGUCGUGAUGUCAUUUUUCGAUGUUGAGGACGACCAUUUCUGGUAUAAACAUUCAUUAUUGACAGAGUUUACCGACCAGAACGUUCUAGCAAAGGUCUCUGUUUAUAGAUUAUACAUGGUAUCGUUUUUCAUUAAUCCAGUAGUAUACAGUGUUAUGGACGUGGAAUUUAGAAAGAGUCUAAAACUUUGUUGUUACCACUGUUUACAUUCGGAUGGACUAUAACUCUGUAAAGUCAGCUAAACGUUUUAAUUACGUUGUGUUGUGAAGGGAAUAUUAAGCUUCUCAGUGAUCAAAAUUAGUGUUUGUCAAACUGCUAUAUAACCUGUUUAAUUUUUCUGAUAAAACGGUUGGUUCAAAUUUGUUCAAAUUUUUAUAUUUUUGUCAAAGGGUCAAAGUAAA
This 1075-nucleotide long non-coding RNA is filed under the name Mytilus galloprovincialis (Mediterranean mussel). Lineage: Eukaryota; Metazoa; Mollusca; Bivalvia; Mytilida; Mytilidae. The record is from RNAcentral.